UACAGAGGUCCCGAGCGUUGUUCGGAUUCACUGGGCGUAAAGGGUGCGUAGGUGGUACGGUAAGUUUGAUGUGAAAGCUCCGAGCUCAACUCGGAAAAUGCAUUAAAUACUAUCGAACUAGAGGAUUGGAGGGGGGACUGGAAUUUUCGGUGUAGCAGUGAAAUGCGUAGAUAUCGAAAGGAACACCAGUGGCGAAGGCGAGUCCCUGGACAACUCCUGACACUGAGGCACGAAAGCUAGGGGAGCAAACAGG
Molecule: ribosomal RNA, 253 nt
Filed under: uncultured bacterium
Lineage: Bacteria
Description: partial 16S ribosomal RNA
Rfam family: Bacterial small subunit ribosomal RNA
Source: RNAcentral